Molecule: transfer RNA, 72 nt
Filed under: Candidatus Falkowbacteria bacterium CG10_big_fil_rev_8_21_14_0_10_43_11
Lineage: Bacteria; Candidatus Falkowiibacteriota
Description: tRNA-Arg
Rfam family: tRNA
About the family: Transfer RNA (tRNA) molecules are approximately 80 nucleotides in length. Their secondary structure includes four short double-helical elements and three loops (D, anti-codon, and T loops).
Source: RNAcentral
ACAGGGGUAGCUCAGUGGCAGAGUGCCUGCUUUCUAAGCAGAAGGUCAUGGGUUCAAACCCCGUCCCCUGUU